RNAcentral lists this unclassified non-coding RNA (223 nucleotides) under uncultured fungus. RNAcentral describes it as "sequence contains ITS1, 5.8S rRNA gene". The stretch from base 175 to 223 matches the Rfam family "5.8S ribosomal RNA", at positions 1 to 49 of the family's 154-position model. Lineage: Eukaryota; Fungi. The record is from RNAcentral.
UCUCCGUAGGUGAACCUGCGGAGGGAUCAUUACUGAGUGAGGGCUUCGGUCCGACCUCCAACCCUUUGUGAACCAAACUUGUUGCUUCGGGGGCGACCCUGCCAUCGUGCGAGGCGCCCCCGGAGGCUCAUUAAACACUGCAUCUCUGCGUCGGAGUUAAAGUAAAUUAAACAAAACUUUCAACAACGGAUCUCUUGGUUCCAGCAUCGAUGAAGAACGCAGC